UGUAGCUGGUUUUAUAUGAAAUUGCGUAAUUUAUUAUUUAAAUACACAGAAUGGUAUCUGGGCAGGGCCCUUGCUCCAGAUCCAGUAAUAAAUAGUUGAUAUAAAGUUAAUAAAAUAAUCAUAGGAUUAAGAAAACAAAUAUAGGUAUAAAAUAAAACAAAUUAAGUACAUAGGAAUGAGAAUAUGUCACCUUAAGGAAAUGUCUCUGAUGUUAUGCUGAAUUCACUUAUUAGCGUGGGUUAUGUUGAAUCCAAUAUACAGCGAUAACCAGGAUGACUUAAUUAAUAUAUCAGAUUCCAGUCACAUAAAACUUUGUUGAACAGUUUGAUUUAUAUAGGUAGUUUCUGUGCAAGAAUAAAUAAUUGCUGGAUAACCAGAGAUAGUAGAGUGGCAGUAUAGUAGCGAUAUAGUCUGUCCCGCUGGAUAAACUAUACAGGAUGGUACAGACUGCGCCCGGCCUGCACAUACAAAAAUGCCUGUAUGAAAGGUGAAGAUCACAGCUUUGGUGGUGUGUGACGUCGGGAUGUGCUGACACCGCUAUGCGAGGGAUUGUCGGCUGUCUCCACUGUGAUAAGGCACGGAUCUGUGUCUGGCUCACUGCUGCGAUGUCCAGGCAGCAGGAGUCACAGGUACAGCCUUCACCUGUCUCGUCCUCAUGCAGCAGUUGAGAGGUUGUAAAGCAAGUCUCACACUUGGCAGUGGUCUCCUAUUGAAGGACUGCAGCGCUUGCAAGGAAGUAUGAAUGUUGAUAUGCAGUGGCAAUAAGGUUAUAUCCUCGAUAAAUCAAGAGAACAAGGAAACAUUGGCAUACUCUUCAGCCUGUGGGUACAGAAACGCCUACAUGAGUCUGCAAGUCUCCAGAUCUAAGCAAUUCUUUGGAUCGGAAAGACACAUACGUAUUUUGCAAGCAAUGUGAUAGUUACACAAGUCUUUUCCGAGGUGUUAUUUACAGAGAAGACAGAAGCUGGCAGCCCUCCUUAUGAAAUAUAUCCUGACUCCAAGAUACCAAACACCUACUCUCGGUUUCAAGACUACAGUUAUGUUUCUGAAAAGUAUGAACAUUUCCCCGCUGGCCAUUGUGCAGAAGAGACAGAAGGACUGGCUAUAU
This is a long non-coding RNA of Hyla sarda, 1108 nucleotides long. RefSeq lists it as uncharacterized. NCBI's taxonomy places the organism in Eukaryota, Metazoa, Chordata, Amphibia, Anura, Hylidae. The transcript has 3 exons. The record is from RefSeq and is a predicted model, not a curated record.